Molecule: ribosomal RNA, 301 nt
Filed under: uncultured bacterium
Lineage: Bacteria
Description: partial 16S ribosomal RNA
Rfam family: Bacterial small subunit ribosomal RNA
Source: RNAcentral
CAGCAGCCGCGGGAAUACGGAGGGUGCAAGCGUUAAUCGGAAUUACUGGGCGUAAAGCGCACGCAGGCGGUCUGACAAGUCAGAUGUGAAAUCCCCGGGCUUAACCUGGGAACUGCAUUUGAAACUGGCAGGCUAGAGUCUUGUAGAGGGGGGUAGAAUUCCAGGUGUAGCGGUGAAAUGCGUAGAGAUCUGGAGGAAUACCGGUGGCGAAGGCGGCCCCCUGGACAAAGACUGACGCUCAGGUGCGAAAGCGUGGGGAGCAAACAGGAUUAGAGACCCCGGUAGUCCCUGUCUCUUAUAC